Molecule: ribosomal RNA, 465 nt
Filed under: Vreelandella stevensii
Lineage: Bacteria; Pseudomonadati; Pseudomonadota; Gammaproteobacteria; Oceanospirillales; Halomonadaceae
Description: partial 16S ribosomal RNA
Rfam family: Bacterial small subunit ribosomal RNA
Source: RNAcentral
CCUACGGGGUGCAGCAGUGGGGAAUAUUGGACAAUGGGCGAAAGCCUGAUCCAGCCAUGCCGCGUGUGUGAAGAAGGCCUUCGGGUUGUAAAGCACUUUCAGUGGGGAAGAAAGCCUUGGGGCUAAUACCCUCGAGGAAGGACAUCACCCACAGAAGAAGCACCGGCUAACUCCGUGCCAGCAGCCGCGGUAAUACGGAGGGUGCGAGCGUUAAUCGGAAUUACUGGGCGUAAAGCGCGCGUAGGCGGUCUGAUAAGCCGGUUGUGAAAGCCCCGGGCUCAACCUGGGAACGGCAUCCGGAAGUGUCAGGUGAAGGAAGAGGAGAGGAAGGGAGUAGCACCGGUGGACAGCGGAUGCACGUAAGGCACGGGAGAUGUGCCAGUGGAGAAGGAGACCUCAUGGACGUACAAGGGAGCUGAGGUGUAAUUUCUUAAAUCGGAAACAGGCGGAAGGAGACGAUAAGAG